AUCGCUUCUCGGCCUUUUGGCUAAGAUCAAGUGUAGUAUCUGUUCUUAUCAUUUAAUAUCUGAUACGUCCCCCAUCGGGGGACUACAUAUUAAAUGGAUUUUUCGAACAGGGAGUCGGGAAAUGGGGCUUGCUCCGUCCGCUCCACGCUCGACCCGGUAUUGCAGUACCUCCGGGAACGGUGGCAACACUU
RNAcentral lists this small nuclear RNA (191 nucleotides) under Oncorhynchus mykiss (rainbow trout). Its description in RNAcentral is "U2 spliceosomal RNA (ENSOMYG00000073123.1)". It matches the Rfam family "U2 spliceosomal RNA". Rfam says of the family: U2 is a small nuclear RNA (snRNA) component of the spliceosome (involved in pre-mRNA splicing). Complementary binding between U2 snRNA (in an area lying towards the 5' end but 3' to hairpin I) and the branchpoint sequence (BPS) of the intron results the bulging out of an unpaired adenosine, on the BPS, which initiates a nucleophilic attack at the intronic 5' splice site, thus starting the first of two transesterification reactions that mediate splicing. Lineage: Eukaryota; Metazoa; Chordata; Actinopteri; Salmoniformes; Salmonidae. The record is from RNAcentral.